Molecule: ribosomal RNA, 514 nt
Filed under: uncultured bacterium
Lineage: Bacteria
Description: bacterial SSU rRNA
Rfam family: Bacterial small subunit ribosomal RNA
Source: RNAcentral
AUGAAUGCUGGCGGCGUGCCUAAUACAUGCAAGUCGAGCGGUAACAGGGCUUCACGUUCCUUGACUCACCUAGCGCAUUAUCGUAGGUGGAGAGAUUCGAGGGAACAGUGAAGCUGCUGACGAGCGGCGGACGGCUGAGUAACGCGUGGGAACGGACCCCAAACUGAGGGAUAACUAGUCGAAAGAUUAGCUAAUACUGCAUAUGGUCUUCGGAUUAAAGGAUUUAUCCGGUUUGGGACUGGCCUGCGUACGAUUAGAUAGUUGGUAGGGUAAUGGCCUACCAAGUCAACGAUCGUUAGAUGGUUUGAGAAGAUGAUCAUCCAGACUGGGACUGAGACACGGCCCAGACUCCUACGGGAGGCAGCAGUAGGGAAUCUUUCACAAUGGGCGAAAGCCUGAAUGGAGCAACGCCGCGUGCAGGAUGGCGGCCUUCGGGUUGUAAACUGCUUUUAUAAGCGAGAAAUAUGAUGGUAACUUAUGAAUAAGGACCGGCUAACUACGUGCCAGCCGCUGC